UAAUCACAUAGUGAAAAAAGUAAAAAUUGACCACAGCUGUCCUUGGCAAUCCCCAAGGUGGAAGCCAUGGAGACAAACCAAUCCUGCCGCUGCUGGGCCACUCCCACUGAGUGGGGUGAACUGAUCAGGAAGGCAGAGCAGAAAAACAGAAGAAUAGAAACAGUUUAGACAUAGCUCUGAACCAGUUUGAGGACACACCCCAAGGGAACUGAAGAUGGACCCUACAGUGUGUUCUGCAAAUGCUGGUGAUCUAACAAGGAACCACUUUGCAGAGCUGAGAAAAAAGUCCACCAUUCCAAGGGUUGCUGUGACAUGCUGUAUGACAAAGAACAGUCCUUCAUUGAUUUCUCAGCCUGCUCUGAGAUCCAACAAGUCUGCCAUUACUACACACACCCCAUUUCCUCUUUGUGAAGGUGCAUUCCCACCCCCAAACCUCCCUAUAACACACAUA
Long non-coding RNA from Alligator sinensis (Chinese alligator), 451 nucleotides. RefSeq lists it as uncharacterized. The transcript is spliced from 3 exons. The record is from RefSeq and is a predicted model, not a curated record. NCBI's taxonomy places the organism in Eukaryota, Metazoa, Chordata, Crocodylia, Alligatoridae.